This 183-nucleotide non-coding RNA is filed under the name Pseudoalteromonas denitrificans DSM 6059. Its description in RNAcentral is "6S / SsrS RNA". It matches the Rfam family "6S / SsrS RNA". Rfam says of the family: E. coli 6S RNA was the first non coding RNA to be sequenced, but its function was unknown until recently. Lineage: Bacteria; Pseudomonadati; Pseudomonadota; Gammaproteobacteria; Alteromonadales; Pseudoalteromonadaceae. The record is from Rfam by way of RNAcentral.
UGUUCCCUGUGAUGUUGGCGUACAAGUUACGUCCCUGAGCCGAUAAACUUUUUACCAGGAAUUCAGUUUAAUUUUCUAUUGAGCAAGCUUGGCAUGUACCGAGAAGCCUACGGAAAAUAUCUGAGCUCCGACCUGAGCCAUUGGGUUCAGGACCAAUACUUGAAACCGCAUCUUGGGGAACAC